Long non-coding RNA from Brachypodium distachyon (stiff brome), 990 nucleotides. RefSeq lists it as uncharacterized. NCBI's taxonomy places the organism in Eukaryota, Viridiplantae, Streptophyta, Magnoliopsida, Poales, Poaceae. The transcript has 4 exons. The record is from RefSeq and is a predicted model, not a curated record.
CGCUGCCACUCCUGUAAACUCACCAUUCAGAUCCAAAUAGUUGGUACUACUCAGUGAUGUAUCACCAAAGACAGAGGUUGUUGUAGGGAAUGCUGGAGCCACAGUGCAGUGGAGAAGAUUUAAGAGAUCAGGCGCUGAUAGAAGCAUCCCAGGUCGCAGUUUCCACUGGUUGCAUAUCUUGCUCCAAAUCAAUUCCUAGUUGAUGCUGAAGGUGGUUGAUUGCUCUUGCAGCUUCAGAGGAAAGAUUGGUCGAAUUGCACCAUUUGGGGAUCUCGUCCUCAUGAGAUUUUACCCCACAACUCCUAACUGCUAGCAUGCACAGUGGCACCAAGAGAGCUUUCAGUCGCCAAGUCUCGCAACAUAGGACCAUAACAAGAACAAACUCAACGGGAAGAGGCACAAACAUCCUCUGAUCUGGAUCAAGUCCAGCUGAGGUGAUGCCAAACCAAGAAGCAGAAACUGCGAAGUGUAGUAGGCUGAGUUCGGUGGAGUUUAAUGUGCUACGCUGUUAAUCUCUACGGUUUUCUCACGUUCUGACACUGGGUACUGGGCAGACAGCCUCCUGCUGUGCUGGACCUGUUUGGACCGAGACCAGAAGAAGUUGCAGGAUGUUUUAAAGGGAGAGGACGACGUCUCAUGCCCUCCUUGCUUCGGCUGGAUUCUCGGUGGGUCUAGGCAUGCGGAAUGCAUUGGCAGGUUCUGCGGCGCACCCGCGUAACGGCAUUCUUCUGCGCGAAGGAGUUCGAGUGUACGGCUCCAUGCCGCAACUCCCAGUUGAAAAAGCGUCCCUUCCACUGAAACAUGAUUCUGUUUCAUUUGUUGACCUCCUUUGUUUUCUCCCCGGAGGUCAGUCAGGUUCUUGGUCUCUCUCACCUCUCCAUGUACUACUGUAGUACAUGGCUACAUGCCCGUUAUGGUGUUCGGUUAGUGUGAUAUUCUGAUUUCUGUUUGUACGAUGCAUGCAAUAUGCUGCUGUGCGCAGAAGUUUGU